This 497-nucleotide ribosomal RNA is filed under the name uncultured bacterium. RNAcentral's name for it is "partial 16S ribosomal RNA". It matches the Rfam family "Bacterial small subunit ribosomal RNA", at positions 28 to 507 of the family's 1533-position model. The record is from RNAcentral.
GAUGAACGCUGGCGGCGUGCCUAAUACAUGCAAGUCGAGCGAACGGGCGAGAAGCUUGCUUCUCUGAUGUUAGCGGCGGACGGGUGAGUAACACGUGGAUAACCUACCUAUAAGACUGGGAUAACUUCGGGAAACCGGAGCUAAUACCGGAUGAUAUUUUGAACCGCAUGGUUCAAAAGUGAAAGACGGUCUUGCUGUCACUUAUAGAUGGAUCCGCGCUGCAUUAGCUAGUUGGUAAGGUAACGGCUUACCAAGGCAACGAUGCAUAGCCGACCUGAGAGGGUGAUCGGCCACACUGGAACUGAGACACGGUCCAGACUCCUACGGGAGGCAGCAGUAGGGAAUCUUCCGCAAUAGGCGAAAGCCUGACGGAGCAACGCCGCGUGAGUGAUGAAGGUCUUCGGAUCGUAAAACUCUGUUAUUAGGGAAGAACAUAUGUGUAAGUAACUGUGCACAUCUUGACGGUACCUAAUCAGAAAGCCACGGCUAACUACGUG